CAGUCGCCGCGGUAAUACGAAGGGGGCUAGCGUUGCUCGGAAUGACUGGGCGUAAAGGGCGCGUAGGCGGAUCACGCAGUCAGAUGUGAAAUUCCUGGGCUUAACCUGGGGGCUGCAUUUGAGACGCGUGGUCUAGAGUGUGAAAGAGGGUCGUGGAAUUCCCAGUGUAGAGGUGAAAUUCGUAGAUAUUGGGAAGAACACCGGUGGCGAAGGCGGCGACCUGGUUCAUAACUGACGCUGAGGCGCGAAAGCGUGGGGAGCAAACAGGAUUAGAUACCCCCGUAGUCCCUGUCUCUUAUAA
Molecule: ribosomal RNA, 301 nt
Filed under: uncultured bacterium
Lineage: Bacteria
Description: partial 16S ribosomal RNA
Rfam family: Bacterial small subunit ribosomal RNA
Source: RNAcentral